This is a long non-coding RNA of Mesocricetus auratus (golden hamster), 2269 nucleotides long. RefSeq lists it as uncharacterized. The transcript has 3 exons. NCBI's taxonomy places the organism in Eukaryota, Metazoa, Chordata, Mammalia, Rodentia, Cricetidae. The record is from RefSeq and is a predicted model, not a curated record.
ACGCGCCAGCGGCCAGCAGCAGCCCUGGCGACCACGACUCGGGGUCCAGCUGCUGAAGCGACUGCAGCGACCGCGUCGCCGACACCCGGCAAUCCUGCCUCAAACUUGGGAAGCACAGAGUCCCUGAGUACACUGGCUGAGAAUUUCUGAAGGCCACUUUGCCACCCAGUAGGACAGCAUGUCCAAAGUCAGCGAUCGAGGUAGGAGCAGUUCUUUGCCCAAGAGGUCAUUAACCGAGGAGAGAAUGAACUCCAGAAGGAAUGUCAUCAGUACUCAACAUAUACUCGGAAAUAGCUUGGUGCUGUCAGGAGCAAUUGUUUCUCAAGUCAAUGGAGUACUAAUAAUAAAACAUUUAAAUGUCAUAUUCUGUUGGUCUAUGAAGUGUUUGAAGCUCAAAUAUCUAUGUCUGACUAAUCUCAUAGAUAAGAAACAUGGGUGAUAAUAAUCUGUAAUUCUCAGAAACAUAGUUGUACAAUGGCUGAAGCUUCCCAAAAUAAUUUAAACAAUCCUAAAACCUAUAUGCAGCAAGGACAAUGACCUCAAAUUUGUAACUAUAUACAUAUAUAUAAUUCUCAAAAACAGAGAUAAAACUGAAAUGUCUUGGCUAGAGAUAUAACUGUAAAGUGCAAUAUGAAAAAAUAUCCUAAGUUAUAUCAAUAUACAAAAUGUAUAUACAUCAAGAUAGUUUUAUAUUUGUGUGCAAAACAUUGUAAACAGAAAGAAGACCCUAAACAGUCAACAUACAAGAAUCUAACAAUUUAAGUUAUCUAUAGCUAACAGUUGCUAAAGUUAGUUCACUAGAAAAUGUUAAUCUACCUAUAUUCCAUCCUAACCAUACCUUUCCCAUCCACACCCUUAAACUUACCUAAGAGAGAUACCCGAGUCUGGGCAUCACCUUCCAUACCCAACCCUAAACAACUAAAAACCACCUAAGCAGGUGAAUACCAUCCCUUAAUGCCAACAGUAGGGGAAGGGGGUGUUGUAUUCUUAGGUUUUCUUCCCAUUGAAAUGGGAUGACGAUGACUCCAUGGGAUCCUGUAGGAAAAAAAUUAGAGCAACAAAAAGUUAAUGAAUAGUUUCUCUUACUAGUAACACCAUUUAUUGAUUCUUUUAUACAGUAUAAUGAUAGAGAAACAUACCAUUGGAAUGAAACUGUCAUGUAAAUACCACAGAGCCCACAUGUGAUAGUGUCCUCCCCAUGUUGUGGGGGUAGUCACAGUUGUGUAAGGCUUCCACCACUGAAAGCAGUGUCAUCAUGCUAUGAAUGACAGUACUGGUUUCUGUGAAGACAGCCUGGAGAGAUGUAUGUUGAGUCCCUGACCUUAACAUGAGUUGUCACAUCUGAAGGCUUCUGCUGGCCAAGUUGGCCGUAAGCUGAUGAUGGUGAUGUGAAGGUGUUGGGAGGCUGACCUAAUGCAGGGAGAGGAGGCCCUGGCAGAAGCCCGGUUUCUUAUGAUCACUGAGGCCUAUUUUCUGGCAGUUGGUAAGCCUCUUGGAGACUUGUAAACUGACUGUUUGACCAUGAUUUCCAACAGUAGGAAAUCAUUCUUCCAUUCCCCCAGGGCUGAGGAAGUUCCGUUCAUCUGUGUUCCCCCAGCUCCCCUUGGGAAUGGCAUCGUAAAUCUAUUACAGCUUUAGCAGUUGUUUCUCUGGAUGCUUGAGGGCCUUUGAGGUUCUGCCCCAGGGCUCUGUGAGAUGGGUUUUGUUGGUUCCUCUAAUCUCUUCCCACAGGAAUUUAUGAUCUAUAUAAAGCUCCUGGGUUCCAUCUGCUUCUCAGAGAGUUCAUAUCACAACUAAAGAGUCCCUGGCAGCAUAGAUACCAUGGUGUGGGUAAUGUCAGUCACAGCCUUUUCCUCCGGGCUUUUUGACAAGCUUUGUUGGUCCUACUGAUACACUAUGAAAAUGCAGUGGAGCAGUUAAAAAGGGUAGAGAUGGCAUGCAUGCUUUGCCUACGUGUUUGUGCACAACCUCGGUGCAGUGCUCUCAGAAGCUAAAGAGGGCAUUAGAGCCCGGAAGCCAGAAGAGGGUGUUGUUGCAUGAAAAAUGAAGGACCCAGGGUCAGAUAUUGGGGUUCAAACUUCAAGCUGAAGAGCAGAAGAGCAAAGCAGCCAGUCACUAGCUUUUAUCUCUACCUCAGACUGAAAGGCCAUCUUGGUUCCACCCAACCUUAGACUGCUGCCUCCCUCUCCUCAUCAUGGCUGGAGAAUCCUGAGACUUCAGUGUGUUUCUAUCCUCAGUGUGGCCGGAGAAUGAAUGCCUCAUCGUUUAU